Molecule: non-coding RNA, 175 nt
Filed under: Candidatus Latescibacterota bacterium
Lineage: Bacteria; Pseudomonadati; Candidatus Latescibacterota
Source: RNAcentral
CGUGACAACUCGGGGAUUGGUUCUCUUUGAGGAUUAAAAGGGAAUCCAUAAGGAGCGGCCCCGCCACUGUAGCAGUGACGAAUCCCGUCAUGCCACUGUUCCGGAGUGCGGAAUGGGAAGGCAGGGAUGAGGAUGAUCUGCGAGCCAGGAGACCUGCCAAUCUCCAUAUGUCAAG